AUUACACUUUUGUAAUUAAGGCCUUGAAUGGAUGCUGAUUUUCGAUUCAGUUUUUGGAUUUAGAUUUUAGUUUCUAGAUUUUAGAUUUUAGUUUUAGGCCUUGAAUGUUUUGUAGAUUUUGUAAGAGUUUUUGGAUUUUGUUUUUCAAAAACUUAUUUUCAUACCAAUCAAGAUUUUAAAAUUUUGGUUUCCCUACA
This 197-nucleotide small RNA is filed under the name Arabidopsis thaliana (thale cress). RNAcentral's name for it is "ATSL261190". Lineage: Eukaryota; Viridiplantae; Streptophyta; Magnoliopsida; Brassicales; Brassicaceae. The record is from RNAcentral.